UACAGAGGGGGCAAGCGUUGUUCGGAAUUACUGGGCGUAAAGGGCGCGUAGGCGGCCCGCUAAGUCGAACGUGAAAUCCCUGGGCUCAACCCAGGAACUGCGUCCGAUACUGGCAGGCUUGAAUCCGGGAGAGGGAUGUGGAAUUCCAGGUGUAGCGGUGAAAUGCGUAGAUAUCUGGAGGAACACCGGUGGCGAAGGCGGCAUCCUGGACCGGUAUUGACGCUGAUGCGCGAAAGCCAGGGGAGCAAACGGGG
RNAcentral lists this ribosomal RNA (254 nucleotides) under uncultured bacterium. RNAcentral's name for it is "partial 16S ribosomal RNA". It matches the Rfam family "Bacterial small subunit ribosomal RNA", at positions 524 to 777 of the family's 1533-position model. The record is from RNAcentral.